GGGCAUCGACGAGCUCUGGGUCACCUCCCACCCGUGUUUAUUUUACCUUGUUGCUUCGGCGGGCCCGCCUUAACUGGCCGCCGGGGGGCUUACGCCCCCGGGCCCGCGCCCGCCGAAGACACCCUCGAACUCUGUCUGAAGAUUGAAGUCUGAGUGAAAAUAUAAAUUAUUUAAAACUUUCAACAACGGAUCUCUUGGUUCCGGCAUCGAUGAAGAACGCAGCGAAAUGCGAUACGUAAUGUGAAUUGCAAAUUCAGUGAAUCAUCGAGUCUUUGAACGCACAUUGCGCCCCCUGGUAUUCCGGGGGGCAUGCCUGUCCGAGCGUCAUUGCUGCCCUCAAGCCCGGCUUGUGUGUUGGGCCCCGUCCCCCGAUCUCCGGGGGACGGGCCCGAAAGGCAGCGGCGGCACCGCGUCCGGUCCUCGAGCGUAUGGGGCUUUGUCACCCGCUCUGUAGGCCCGGCCGGCGCUUGCCGAUCAACCCAAAUUUUUAUCCAGGUUGACCUCGGAUCAGGUAGGGAUACCCGCUGAACUUAAGCAUAUCAAUAAACGGAGGAAA
Molecule: ribosomal RNA, 556 nt
Filed under: Penicillium crustosum
Lineage: Eukaryota; Fungi; Ascomycota; Eurotiomycetes; Eurotiales; Aspergillaceae
Description: eukaryotic LSU rRNA
Rfam family: 5.8S ribosomal RNA (bases 175-327)
Source: RNAcentral